Molecule: long non-coding RNA, 336 nt
Organism: Tupaia belangeri chinensis (Chinese tree shrew)
Lineage: Eukaryota; Metazoa; Chordata; Mammalia; Scandentia; Tupaiidae
Exons: 3
Source: RefSeq, a predicted model, not a curated record
GACACAGCUGCCUUCAGCACAGAGCUCAGAAAAGAGAAAGCGUGCGUGUACACGUGAGAGACAGUAAAAGGAAAGGUUCAGCGCCCUCCACAAGGUUCGGUCCCGCCACGAUGCCCUUCCUCCUUCUUCCUGCCCAACAGCCCUUGGCUCCCACGUGUGCCAGGCACCAUACAGAUCAUCAAGGAUACCAUCAAGCCUAUCUCAAAAUGACCUCCAUCAAUUUCAAAGAAAAUCAAAAUUAACCUGGAACAAAUGAGUUUAAAAAGUUCUAGGGCAGGCUCCUUAGCACAGUGGUUAAGGGCGCUGGAUCUAACAUGGUCAACCACAAGGUUCAAA